This 535-nucleotide ribosomal RNA is filed under the name uncultured bacterium. RNAcentral describes it as "bacterial SSU rRNA". It matches the Rfam family "Bacterial small subunit ribosomal RNA", at positions 772 to 1299 of the family's 1533-position model. The record is from RNAcentral.
ACUCAAUAGAUACCCGGGUAGUCCUGGCAGUAAACGGUGCGCGUUUGGUGUGGGAGGAUUCGACCCCUUCUGUGCCGGAGCUAAACGCGUUAAACGCGCCGCCUGGGGAGUACGGUCGCAAGAUUAAAACUACAAAGAAAUUGACGGGGGCCCGCACAAGCGGUGGAGUAUGUGGCUUAAUUCGAUGCAACGCGAAGAACCUUACCUAGCCUUGACAUGCAUCUCUAAAUCGGUGAAAGCCGGCGAGUGUAGCAAUACACAAUUUGCACAGGUGCUGCAUGGCUGUCGUCAGCUCGUGUCGUGAGAUGUUGGGUUAAGUUCCCGCAACGAGCGCAACCCCUGUGAACUGUUGCCACCUACCUUUGGGUAGAGCACUCUGUUCAGACUGCCCUGUGAAACGGGGAGGAAGGUGGGGAUGACGUCAAGUCAGCAUGGCCCUUACGGCUAGGGCUGCACACGUACUACAAUGCUCAGUACAGAAUGAACCGAAACCGCGAGGUGGAGGAAAUCCAUAAAACUGAGCCCAAUUCGGAUU